CUAUCAAGCCGAAUCUAAAACCCUAGAAUCACUUUGCCGAUCACGAUCAAAGUAAAUUCAAGCAUGCAAAGAGAUAAAAAAUUAUACUUUAACCAAUAUAAAAAAGUGAAAUAUUAGUGUUCUCCACAAGACCUCAAGACAGAAGUCCUCCAAUGGUGAUCCACCUAAAAGUUGACCAAAGUUCUUCUCAACUGGUGCACUGUCGCAGCCUUAUUUUCUCAAGAAUACUGUCGGCUUCGAACUUGCGUUACGAUCGCACCAAAGCCCAGUUGCUUUCGAUCUCAUCACCAAAAUAACAC
This 299-nucleotide long non-coding RNA is filed under the name Elaeis guineensis (African oil palm). RNAcentral describes it as "long non-coding RNA (EGUI_LNC056668)". Lineage: Eukaryota; Viridiplantae; Streptophyta; Magnoliopsida; Arecales; Arecaceae. The record is from RNAcentral.